AGAGAUGUGUGAUGACGCAUAUCAAUAAGCGGAGGAAAAGAAACUAACUAGGAUUCCCUUAGUAACGGCGAGUGAAGCGGGAAGAGCUCAAAUUUGAAAUCUUCAAGGUUCUACCUUGACGAAUUGUAGUUUAUAGAAGUGUUUUCUGUUAGUAGAGUGGCAAAAGUUCUUUGGAAUAGGACAUCAUAGAGGGUGAGAAUCCCGUAUUUGUACCAUUCUUUCUAACUUUGUGAUACACUUUCAACGAGUCGGAUUGUUUGGGAAUGCAGUCCAAAAUGGGUGGUAAAUUUCAUCUAAAGCUAAAUAUUGGCGAGAGACCGAUAGCGAACAAGUACCGUGAGGGAAAGAUGAAAAGAACUUUGAAAAGAGAGUUAAACAGUACGUGAAAUUGUCAAAAGGGAAGCGUUUGACACCAGUGUUGUUUUUCCGAAAAUCAAUUACGAAUGUUUUAUUUUUGAGAAGUUAUGACUUCAUCGGCUUGCUUCUCUCUUUAUGAAACUUUCUUAAUGCACUUUUCGGUUAACAAGUCAACAUCAAUUUCUUUUGUUGUAAAAGGGUAUGAGGAAGGUGGCUUUCUUUUCGGGGAAAGUGUUUAUAGCCUUGUACCUCUGCAAUCGGAGAGAUUGAGGUCUGCAGCGUAGAUCCUUCGGGGUUAGAUACAUUUGUGCUAAGUUAUAGCUUUUCAUAGACAACUUGUUGACUAUGUUUAGUCUUGUAGCUUACUCGCUUAUGCUAUUUUACCUACGCUUAGGAUGUUGAAGAUGUAGCACAUCA
RNAcentral lists this ribosomal RNA (774 nucleotides) under uncultured Neocallimastigales. Its description in RNAcentral is "partial large subunit ribosomal RNA". It matches the Rfam family "Eukaryotic large subunit ribosomal RNA", at positions 23 to 642 of the family's 3401-position model. Lineage: Eukaryota; Fungi; Neocallimastigomycota; Neocallimastigomycetes; Neocallimastigales. The record is from RNAcentral.